RNAcentral lists this transfer RNA (68 nucleotides) under Marmota monax (woodchuck). RNAcentral describes it as "tRNA.Ala". Lineage: Eukaryota; Metazoa; Chordata; Mammalia; Rodentia; Sciuridae. The record is from RNAcentral.
GGAUUGUGGCUCAGUGGUAGAGUGCUCCCCCAGCAUGCAUGAGGCCCUGGGUUUGAACCUCAGCACCA